GAUCUAGCAACCAAAACAAAAAAUUUCGUCUUUGGUUCUUUUGGUCACUGGCUGAAGCCUUCAACCUUCGUCGUCUACUGCCUGAAGCCUUCAACCUUCUUCGUCACUGGCUCACCGUCUUUCACCUUCUUUGUCGCUGGCUCACCGACUAUCACCUUCUUCCCACUGUCAAGCUCUUAUAAUUUCUCUCACCUCGAUCUCAAUCUCACUCUAACAAGAUCUCAAUCUCACUCUCCGCUACCGCUUCUAACACACAUCGCCUUUCCUUAUUGCUCCGUCACAAGAAGGUAUUCUCCUUCUCUCCCCGUCGAUUUGAGUUUUGCUAUGUUUGAUCAAUUUUCUAUAUGUAAUUAAUAGUUCUAUUUUUACUGAUUUUGAAAUUGUACUUCGAAUCAAAAAACAAGCAUACAAUUUUUGUUGCAAAACUUUGCUUCUUGUUGUUGCAUACAAUCUGAGGAAGGACUUGGUGCAGCGUGGAAAAUAUGAGUGUUUGCUAAACACCAUGGAAGCAUGUGUCAUUGAUGCCUGGCCUCAGUUGUAUUGCAUAGUUUGAAGGAGAGUUUUGAUGAUGCUUCACGGAAAGAUGGUGGUAAGGCUAUUGUUGUCACAGGUAAAAGAGCUCCCAACUAAGGCAGAGAUGAUUGCUUGGUCAGAGAAGCUGGAAUUGAGAUGUUUAGAUAUGGAGAUCACAUCAUGGGAAUCCAAGGCCAUCCUAAAUACUCUAAAGGCAUUCUGUUGCACCUUAUUGAUUUCCUUCUUAAAAAAGAUUACAUUAUGGAUACUUUGGCUGUGGAAGCAAGGGAGAAAGGUUGCACUUUAGGAGCCAAAUAAGGAGGCAUGGAAGAGGGUCUGUCUUAGUUUUCUCAAGGAUUUUUUUACUUUAUGUAAAUAGAAUUUUUUUCUUUACUUGCUUUUUGCAUUCAUUUGGGGCCAUUGACUAUAAAGCCAUCAAUAUACAUUUGGAUUAUGGAUCAUAAAUUUGAUAUAUUUAUGAAUUUUGUCUCUUUUAAUUUC
Arachis ipaensis is the source of this 1014-nucleotide non-coding RNA. The record is from RefSeq and is a predicted model, not a curated record. Lineage: Eukaryota; Viridiplantae; Streptophyta; Magnoliopsida; Fabales; Fabaceae.